This 484-nucleotide ribosomal RNA is filed under the name uncultured bacterium. Its description in RNAcentral is "partial 16S ribosomal RNA". It matches the Rfam family "Bacterial small subunit ribosomal RNA", at positions 29 to 507 of the family's 1533-position model. The record is from RNAcentral.
AUUGAACGCUGGCGGCAGGCCUAACACAUGCAAGUCGAGCGGAUGAAGGGAGCUUGCUCCUGGAUUCAGCGGCGGACGGGUGAGUAAUGCCUAGGAAUCUGCCUGGUAGUGGGGGAUAACGUCCGGAAACGGGCGCUAAUACCGCAUACGUCCUGAGGGAGAAAGUGGGGGAUCUUCGGACCUCACGCUAUCAGAUGAGCCUAGGUCGGAUUAGCUAGUUGGUGGGGUAAAGGCCUACCAAGGCGACGAUCCGUAACUGGUCUGAGAGGAUGAUCAGUCAAAGUGGAAGUGAGACAAGGACCAGAGGCGAAAGGGAGGCAGAAGGGGGGAAUAUUGGAGAAUGGGGGAAAGACAGAACAAGGCAUGGAGCGUGUGUGAAGAAGGUAUUAGGAUAGUAAAGAACUGUAAGGUGGGAGGAAGGGGAGUAAGUUAAGACCUUGCUGGUUUGAGGUUACGAGCAGUAUAAGCACAGGCUAACUUCGGG